GGAGAGGUGGCCGAGUGGUUUAAGGCGCACGCUUGGAAAGUGUGUGUGCUGUCAAAGGUACCGUGGGUUCGAAUCCCACUCUCUCCGCCA
RNAcentral lists this transfer RNA (90 nucleotides) under Pelagibacteraceae bacterium TMED267. RNAcentral describes it as "tRNA-Ser". It matches the Rfam family "tRNA". Rfam says of the family: Transfer RNA (tRNA) molecules are approximately 80 nucleotides in length. Their secondary structure includes four short double-helical elements and three loops (D, anti-codon, and T loops). Lineage: Bacteria; Pseudomonadati; Pseudomonadota; Alphaproteobacteria; Candidatus Pelagibacterales; Candidatus Pelagibacteraceae. The record is from RNAcentral.